CCUACGGGUGGCAGCAGUGGGGGAUAUUGCACAAUGGGGGGAACCCUGAAGCAGCGACGCCGCGUGGGUGAAGAAGCGCCUCGGCGCGUAAAGCCCUGUCAGCAGGGAAGAAAAUGACGGUACCUGAAGAAGAAGCCCCGGCUAACUACGUGCCAGCAGCCGCGGUAAUACGUAGGGGGCAAGCGUUAUCCGGAUUUACUGGGUGUAAAGGGGGCGCAGACGGCGAUGCAAGCCAGAAGUGAAAGCCCGUGGCUCAACCCCGGGACUGCAGUGGGAACUGCGGGGCUUGAGUGCGGGGGGGGCAGGCGGAAUUCGUGGUGUAGCGGUGAAAUGCGUAGAUAUCAGGAGGAACACCGAUGGCGAAGGCGGCCUGCUGGACUGUUACUGACGUUGAGGCCCGAAAGCGUGGGGAGCAAACAGGAUUAGAUACCCCAGUAGUC
This 440-nucleotide ribosomal RNA is filed under the name uncultured bacterium. Its description in RNAcentral is "partial 16S ribosomal RNA". It matches the Rfam family "Bacterial small subunit ribosomal RNA", at positions 338 to 795 of the family's 1533-position model. The record is from RNAcentral.